Molecule: ribosomal RNA, 1282 nt
Filed under: Clostridioides difficile
Lineage: Bacteria; Bacillati; Bacillota; Clostridia; Peptostreptococcales; Peptostreptococcaceae
Description: partial 23S ribosomal RNA
Rfam family: Bacterial large subunit ribosomal RNA
Source: RNAcentral
GGUCCGAACCCACUUCAGUUGAAAAUGGAGGGGAUGAGUUGUGGAUAGGGGUGAAAGGCCAAUCAAACACCGUGAUAGCUGGUUCUCCCCGAAAUGCAUUUAGGUGCAGCGUUGCGUGGUUCUUGUUGGAGGUAGAGCACUGGAUGGUCUAGGGGGCUUAUCGGCUUACCGAAAUCAGCCAAACUCCGAAUGCUGGCAAGUGUAGCGUGGCAGUGAGACGGCGGGGGAUAAGCUUCGUCGUCGAGAGGGAAACAGCCCAGAUCAUCAGCUAAGGCCCCUAAGUGGUGACUCAGUGGGAAAGGAUGUGGAGUUGCGUAGACAACCAGGAGGUUGGCUUGGAAGCAGCCAUCCUUGAAAGAGUGCGUAAUAGCUCACUGGUCAAGUGAUUCCGCGCCGAUAAUGUAGCGGGGCUUAAGUUAUCCGCCGAAGCUGUGGCAACCUGUGUGGUUGGGUAGGGGAGCGUCGUGUCAGUGGUGAAGCUGCCGGGUGACUGUGUGGUGGAGUUGAUGCGAGUGAGAAUGCAGGCAUGAGUAGCGUGUGACGGGUGGGAAUCCCGUCCGCCGAUUAUCCAAGGGUUCCAGGGUCAAGUUUGUCUGCCCUGGGUGAGUCGGGUCCUAAGGCGAGGCCGACAGGCGUAGUCGAUGGGUAACCAGUUGAUAUUCUGGUACCGGCUUGUCACCGUCCGUGUCGAGGUGUGUGAUGCUAAGCAUGUGAGCUUGUCUUGGGAGUGUUUUUGAUGCUUCUGGGGUGGGUGAGUGUGUGAACCGAUCAUGUAGUAGGCAAGCUGCGGAGGGACGCAGUGAGGUAGCUCAUCCCCGGUGAUGGUUGUCCGGGGCUAAGUGUGUGGACUGUCUGGUAGGUAAAUCCGCUGGGCGUGAAGGUUGAGGCAUGAUGGGGAGCCCAUGGUUGUGGGUGAGUGAGUGAUCCUGUACUGUCGAGAAAAGCUUCGUGAGCGAGGUGGCGGGUCCGCCCGUACCCUAAACCGACACUGGUGGAUAGGUAGAGUAUACCGAGGCGAUCGAGUGAAUCGUGGUGAAGGAACUCGGCAAAAUGCCCCCGUAACUUUGGGAUAAGGGGGACCUGAGCUGUCGUGCACCCGUGCGGUGUGGUGGCGGUGAGGGGCGCAGAGUCCAGGGGGAAACGACUGUUUACCAAAAACACAGGUCCGUGCGAAGUCGUAAGACGAUGUAUACGGACUGACUCCUGCCCGGUGCUGGAAGGUUAAGGGGAACUGUGAGUGUAUGCGUAGCGGUGAACUUAAGCCCCAGUAAACGGCGGUGGU